RNAcentral lists this ribosomal RNA (384 nucleotides) under uncultured bacterium. RNAcentral's name for it is "bacterial SSU rRNA". It matches the Rfam family "Bacterial small subunit ribosomal RNA", at positions 29 to 415 of the family's 1533-position model. The record is from RNAcentral.
AAUGAACGUUGGCGGCGUGGAUUAGGCAUGCAAGUCGAGCGAGAACCCCGCAAGGGGGGACAGCGGCGAACGGGGUAGUAAGGCGUAGGUGACGUGCCCUGGGGACCGGAAUAGCCACGGGAAACUGUGGGUAAUGCCGGAUAAUCUCUUCUUGUUUGAACAUUUGAAGAGCAAUGGGUGUGAUUCCGCCCUUGGAGCGGCCUACGUGGUAUUAGCUAGUUGGUGAGGUAAUGGCUCACCAAGGCGACGAUGCCUAGGGGGUNUGAGAGCAUGGCCCCCACACUGGGACUGAGAUACUGCCCAGACACCUACGGGUGGCUGCAGUCGAGAUCUUCGGCAAUGGACGCAAGUCUGACCGAGCGACGCCGCGUGCGGGCUAAGGCC